This 427-nucleotide ribosomal RNA is filed under the name uncultured bacterium. RNAcentral's name for it is "partial 16S ribosomal RNA". It matches the Rfam family "Bacterial small subunit ribosomal RNA", at positions 354 to 795 of the family's 1533-position model. The record is from RNAcentral.
GUAGGGAAUAUUGGACAAUGGGGGCAACCCUGAUCCAGCGACGCCGCGUGAGUGACGAAGGCCUUCGGGUCGUAAAGCUCUGUUGCAAGGGAAAAACAAAAUGAUGGUACCUUGCUAGAAAGGAUCGGCUAACUUCGUGCCAGCAGCCGCGGUAAGACGAGGGAUCCUAGCGUUGUUCGGAAUUAUUGGGCGUAAAGCGGGUGUAGGUGGCUUUGUAAGUCAGGUGUGAAAGCCUGGGGCUUAACCCCAGAAGUGCAUUUGAUACUGCGAAGCUUGAGUGCUGGAGAGGCUAUUAGAAUUCCUGGUGUAGUGGUGAAAUACGUAGAUAUCAGGAGGAAUACCGGAGGCGAAGGCGGAUAGCUGGCCAGACACUGACACUCAGACCCGAAAGCGUGGGGAUCAAACAGGAUUAGAAACCCUUGUAGUC